Molecule: ribosomal RNA, 466 nt
Filed under: uncultured Planctomycetota bacterium
Lineage: Bacteria; Pseudomonadati; Planctomycetota
Description: bacterial SSU rRNA
Rfam family: Bacterial small subunit ribosomal RNA
Source: RNAcentral
UGUGCAAGGUGAAAGAGGCGAACGCACCGCGCGCGUGAGGAAGGCUUCGGGCUGUAAAGCCCUGUCCCCCGUUAAGAAAUGUAAACUCGCUAAUAUCGGGUCUAUUUGACAUAUGUUCCAAAGGAAGCCACGGCUAACUCUGUGCCAGCAGCCGCGGUAAUACAGAGGUGGCAAGCGUUGUUCGGAAUUAUUGGGCGUAAAGAGCACGUAAGUGGAUUUGUAAGUCAGACGUGAAAGCCUUCUGUUCCACGUAAGAAUUGCAUCUGAAACUACAAACCUUGAGUGUAGGAGGGGAGAAUGGAACUUCUGGUGGAGCGGUGAAAUGCGUACAUAUCAAUAGGAACGCCGGCGGCGAAAGCGAUUCUCUGGCCUAUUACUGACACUCAGUGUGCGAGAGCUAGGGGAGCAAACGGGAUUAGAUACCCCGGUAGUCCUAGCCGCCAACGAUGCGCACUAAGUAGAGGGG